This 444-nucleotide ribosomal RNA is filed under the name uncultured bacterium. RNAcentral describes it as "SSU rRNA". It matches the Rfam family "Bacterial small subunit ribosomal RNA", at positions 26 to 518 of the family's 1533-position model. The record is from RNAcentral.
AGAACGAACGCUGGCGGCAGGCCUAACACAUGCAAGUCGAACGCCCCGCAAGGGGAGUGGCAGACGGGUGAGUAACGCGUGGGAACGUGCCCUAAGGUACGGAACAACUCCGGGAAACUGGAGCUAAUACCGUAUGUGCCCGAGAGGGGAAAGAUUUAUCGCCUUGGGAUCGGCCCGCGUCUGAUUAGCUAGUUGGUAGGGUAACGGCCUACCAAGGCUACGAUCAGUAGCUGGUCUGAGAGGAUGACCAGCCACACUGGGACUGAGACACGGCCCAGACUCCUACGGGAGGCAGCAGUGGGGAAUAUUGGACAAUGGGCGCAAGCCUGAUCCAGCCAUGCCGCGUGGAUGAUGAAGGCCUUAGGGUUGUAAAGUCCUUUUAACGGGGAAGAUAAUGACGGUACCCGUAGAAUAAGCCCCGGCUAACUACGUGCCAGCAGCCGC